UACGGAGGGGGCUAGCGUUGUUCGGAAUUACUGGGCGUAAAGCGCACGUAGGCGGCUUUGCAAGUCAGAGGUGAAGGCCCGGGGCUCAACCCCGGAAUAGCCUUUGAGACUGCAUCGCUAGAAUUGUGGAGAGGUAAGUGGAAUUCCGAGUGUAGAGGUGAAAUUCGUAGAUAUUCGGAAGAACACCAGUGGCGAAGGCGACUUACUGGACACAUAUUGACGCUGAGGUGCGAAAGCGUGGGGAGCAAACAGG
RNAcentral lists this ribosomal RNA (253 nucleotides) under uncultured bacterium. RNAcentral's name for it is "partial 16S ribosomal RNA". It matches the Rfam family "Bacterial small subunit ribosomal RNA", at positions 524 to 776 of the family's 1533-position model. The record is from RNAcentral.